This is a long non-coding RNA of Ooceraea biroi (clonal raider ant), 211 nucleotides long. RefSeq lists it as uncharacterized. The record is from RefSeq and is a predicted model, not a curated record. NCBI's taxonomy places the organism in Eukaryota, Metazoa, Arthropoda, Insecta, Hymenoptera, Formicidae.
UCUCUCAGUGAGGAGGAAGUGUACCUGAAAAUUUCAUCAGAAAUCGAUAAACGAAGAACAAACAAAACUAGAACAAAUUUACCAUGACUUUCGAGCGAGAGACUGUGAGAAGUAGGAAUGGUGCGACUGUUCGUUUCUGGAGACAUAAUGCAACACAGGUUGCAUUAAACGCUGCCAUAAAUAAAAGGCCAAGAGCCUAAUUUAUUAAUAA